Numida meleagris (helmeted guineafowl) is the source of this 9065-nucleotide long non-coding RNA. RefSeq lists it as uncharacterized. Lineage: Eukaryota; Metazoa; Chordata; Aves; Galliformes; Numididae. The transcript has 3 exons. The record is from RefSeq and is a predicted model, not a curated record.
UGAGGAGAUGCCCAUGGGACAGGGGCAUUUAUUCAGGAGUUGAUCACCCUGGGAAGCAUCACCGAGGUCUUUAAGGAAGGAGCUUGCUUUGUGUGUAUCAGCUGUAGUGAUGAACACCAAAGUCAAUGGGACAGUGUCUAAUUUACUGCAGCGAGAAGUGGAGAUCUUGCCUCAGGGGUGAUAGACUAAUAGUGAUGAUAAGGCCAGCUUACAUCUUCCAUUGUAAAAAGGAAAAUUAAGUGAAAAGGAGCCAUUAUGCUCCUUGGGGAUGAUGAACAAACUCAGCUUUGCAUAGCACCAGGGUGAGAGAGCUGCAUGAGGGGAAAUAACAAGGAGUAGCCAUAGUAGAAGAGCCAGCUUGGUGGAGAUACCAGCUUGAAUGAUGGAAUCAAAAGAGGUAAGAACAGCUGGAUGAGAAACAACAGCUGAAGUCUGCAGCAUUUAAAUAACCACUGGCUGUGGUUGCAGUUUGAUGGCCUUGUUACAGCCUGCCACUUUCUCAAAUAACAUGGAGUGUGCUCCGUCAAGCAGGAGCCACCACGCACCUGCCCACCCCUCGCCCUCAUCAGGGGGACGGCCCAACGUAAACACACAGGUGAAGAGGUUGAGAUGAUGAAAGACAAUAGACCAUUACCAGGGACUUAAUGGUGUUGUAAAGGAGAUAAAUGUCUUUGAAGUAGCACCCUUAAAACACGUGACCUUCGGGCUGACCUUUCCUUUCAGAUUAUGGUAUGCAGAUUGUUUUAUAUCGGGCAGUGCAAACAGAGCAGGCAGAGCCAACAGCUCAGCCCCUGCGCUGGGGAAGUACUUGGACGUCGUAUCCAUCUAGAUAGAUCACUGUUUACUUGAUCUCACCAAAAGCAAAACUCUACCACAACUACUGCCUUUCAAGACACAUCUCUCACACUCCAAAUAAAACAAGUUUAUUAUUUCCAUUCAAAUGUCAUUAAUAAAGACAAAUUCUGAAGACCUAGAGCUAAGUCCAAAUCCUCCCUCCAGUCACCAGAGGCAUUCUCUGUGUUAGAGAAGCACUAUUAUGAAUGCAUAUCACCCAGUGGAUUUGUCUGGCGGAGCUGUACGUGCUGCACAGCAUGCUACUCACCAGCAAGGGGCUCAGAGAUGGACUGGAGGGAUCAUCAUCAAGAACAACGGAGAUGCUGGAGGCAUGAUGGACGAGAGCAUGAUCAAGGCCAUGUGAAGAUAAGCAGAGCUCAUCCAUUUCUCUUUUCCGAGAUGGGAGCAUGCUGAUGUGAAUUAACACUUUUUUCUACCUACUGUCCCAGCACUGAUUUAUGCUAUGUAGAGGGCAAGCUGUUCUAGGCACUGGCAGUCCUGUUCUGUGUUUGCAUGGUGCCUGGUGUAAUGAUGCCUCAACCCAUGACUGGAGCCAAACACAUAAUAAAUAAAGGCAAGAAGAAAGCCAAAAAUGUAGUUUGAAGGGGUGCAUGUUGCUCCUUUAUAUAUCACUUUGAGAAAAAACAGAAAAUUGGAGUUUUUCUGAAUCCAGACACAGGGAGCUAUCUCGAUCUGCAGGAGUAUACAAUUGCUGCUAAGCAAGCAAAGAGGAACAAAUACCAUCAAGUGAGGCCCCAAGCCCAUUUUAGCACCUCUGUAAAACAGCUUUAAUGAGAGAGAUCUGAAGGUCGAAGCCAGCCAAGCCCGAACCAGCACUGCACUGCAAGCAAUUGCCAAGGCCUAGAGGAACAGGGCUGCUCUGUGCCACCCACUCCAUGCGCAGCAGUGAGGCAUUGCUGGGGACAGUGCUGGACACAUUCUGACCUACCGCUGUGCCUCCUGCCCUGAUUGUUACCACACGUCUUGCAAGCAGCUCCCUGCACUUCCUCAAGCUAUGCGACAAGGCACGGUCAUCUGCACCUAUUUGCAGCCACAUGAAUGCAAAACUUGGGAACGCGCCCUGUGAGCAAGUGCCACUCGAGCCAAUGAGCUUCCUGAAAUAUUAUCCCACGUUUCUGUCCCACCUUCAUCGCUGGGGCUGUGGAUGAGUUGCAGCCCGCUUCAUUCAGCUGGCCAUGCUGGGCUCUGAGCUGCCCCGUAGCCCCAGGGCAGGUGUCUCUGUCUGAUUCUUUCUUUCAUUCAGCCAGUUUUGUUGUGUCCAGUGACUGCAGAAGAGCAUCAGCACCAAGGCAGUUCUGGUAACACCCUUUAGAAGGGCUCUGUGCUGUGUGAAGCAAAGGGAAGGUGCAGGGUAUGGUUGUGUAGGGAACUGCUUGGAAGGCGGCAUCAGCUCUGCUUCUCCCGUGGUUACGCCAUUGUCUAAAUGGCUACUUUUGGCUUCAGCAGGGGAUGGGACACUGAGUUGGAGGGAUCUGCACUUCAGCAAGCUUGCUGGCACCUCAGCGCUCACAGCGCUUAAGAAGUCUGAAUGGUGUGAGUCUCCAGUGGCUUGGGGUAGGGUUUUGGUUUGCUCUGUGCUGUAACUAGCUUCAGACUUCUGUCCACUGCAAAGGGAGCAGUAUUUGCCCAUCACGCAAAUUCCAUUAUCAGAUAGAACUUGUUGCUGUUUUUAACUUUCCCUGUAGCCAGAGAGCGUGCUGUGUGUGUGCUGUAGGUGGAAUUGGGGGGUGGGUGAUGGGGGUGGUGGGGGCACAGUCCACUCUUCCAGGAGGGCAUCUGGGCAGGGGACCUGCUCCUGCAGGACCAGAGACCAGCACUGGCAUGUUUUGACUCCGCGCCUUUGCGCGAGCAUUUGCUAUCCGCAGUGCUUUCUUAAUUUGGCUGUAUGGUAUUUAUCCCCUCCUUGGGAGAGACGGCUGGGACUGCAGGCAGCAUGAUUUAUGCCAGUUGUUCAAUUCGUGACAACUGCUGUCAACAGUUGUUCAUUUUAAUUACUGUUGGUGGGCCCAGAUGUCUCAAAGAUGAGCUCAGUGCCACAUAAAUACAAUAAAUACAGAUAAUAUUAGCAACCCCACUUCCUUUCGAGGGGAGGAGUGCAGGACCACCGAUUACCCAUUCUUCUGUGUUCCCUCACUGCCUGCCCACCUUCAGAGCAGCACUUGAGUGAAGGGCAGGAAAGGCGGUGGAUGGGCUCUCCCUUUCUCUUCUCUGGUACACUGUAUGUCAUCUCUGUUUCCUCACUAAAAUCACAGUUUGGCUUAUCCAUAGUGUAGAUAUGUAUCAGUUUGCCUGGACCAUUCUCCUCCAGGCCUGCAGUGCACGUGGGACACAUUGUACAGGCAGUGGAGUUCUCUGCCCAUUUCUAUUCUCCCCAGUGUUUCCCAAUUUCAUUGCACCAAAAGGCAAAGUGCAAUCCUAAAAACCACUCAGCAGAAGCGUAUCUCCAAGGACUUCUUUCCAUAGCUGGAUGUACAACCUGCUACAAGGAGAGGUCAUUUCACAACAGCUUGAGCAUAAGCCCUGACCCCAGCUGCAGCAGCAUCCCAUGGGCUCAGAGAAGUGCCUGUGUCCAUAGAAGUAAUCCUGCGAUUCUAGAAGUGGCCUCUAAGGUGAUCAUCAGGGACCCUUUCAAGAAAUGUGGAGAUUUAGUGCUGAUGGACGUGGUUAGUGGGCAUGGUCGACAGUUGGACUAGAUGACCUGAAGAGGUCUUUUCCAGUCUCAGUGGUUCUAUGAUUCUGUGAUACUGUGAGGUUCUGCCUACCUCCUCUGGAAACAGAACACUACACAGUGGAUUUUGGCAAGAGUCAAACACUGAUCACAGCCACUGUAGAGCAGCAAAGAGAACCCAAGUUGUGCCGCCUCGUUGUCCUUGUCAGAUGCCGCAUCACCUUAUGGGACAGACCAUGGGGUUGGGGACUUUGGUAAAACUCAGGAGGGAAGAAUACAGCCCUGCUUCACAUCCCAGCUGGGAAACGGCUCAUCCCCUCUCCAGGGUGGUAGAUGUUAUUUACCAAAAUCUACAUAAAAAUGUAUUGAAAGCCACAAUUGGGAUUCCAAUGCCUGGGCACAAUUAAUAAGCAAUAGGGGUAAUUUAAUGACUUUAUUCUAAUUAUCGGGUCACAAUAGGAAUCUCAUAAAAAGUAUUAAGCCAUGUGGGUAAUAUUAAAGCCUCAGCAACCUACCAACAAGGUUGUUUACCUUGCAAAGUGCUGGAGGGUCCUGUUUGUUCCUUGGUGCAUUCUUCAUUUCCUACCACGGACUGAUGCUAAUGAAUUUUCCGGUGCCACUGCAGAAGGCACUUCAAAUGUCUCCUGCCCCUGCCUCUUCCCUCCCCUCUUCCCCUGCAUGAUGCCUGCUGUCCUUCACCCUGGGCCUGCAGGCACUUUGGGAUGGGGAUGCUGUGCCCUGUCUGUCCCCAUGUGCGACAGCAGGCCCCUAUGCCUCUUUCCCCAUGACCCCCAGCAAAAGGCAGGCUCAGAUGCCAUGGGCACACACGUUCAGCGGCUAAAACCUGGAAUGUGAUACCACAAGGUCCGAGACCAGCUGGAGGCAAGAGGACAGAGCCGGGUGCGCCUUACAGCACUGGUAAUCACACUGGACACAUACGGUUAUAUUUAAGUGCUGGGUGUCUGCUGGCUGCGGAGGCUGAGGCAAGACUGGACUUGAUUAGACAUAAUGACAAAAAUGGACCAACUGUUGCUGAGAAAGCCUCUGCAGCAAAGUAUUACCUCUUUGUUAUUGAGAUAUGACUGUCUGAGGCUUCGCUGCUUUCAACUCCCCAUCAUUAUCUUUACAGACUUCCACUGCAUUUUAAAUAGGUUCCCAAGUUCAACUUUUUGCCCUGGGCCAUAAAUUUAAUGUACUAAAUAUUUUCAUCUGCUGUAGAACACACCAUGUUUUGAAACUUGUUACUUUAUGGAAAAAUAAUGUGGGUUGAAAACAGGACACAGAUUGACAAACCUUUUGUUUUUUAAGUAUAGCCUUGUUCACCCUAAAAAUGUCAAAAAACAGCAUUUUUGUUAUCCACUGUCUGAGUUAAUGUAUAUUUUUGUAUCUUUAGCUAUACAGUGUAUACUGCUUUUUUUCAUAAAUAAACCUAAUGGAGAAAAAAAUUCAGAUAUAUUUAAAUCAGAAUUAAAAUAUAGAUUUUCUUAUUCUCCAUUAAAAUCUACGGUAAAUGUAGCUGCUCUUCAGGAUCCAUUUAAUGAAAUGUUUUUGUAUCUGAUUACAUUUAUGUGCAUGUAUUUAUACACAAAUAAUACAUUAACAACGUCUUUUGCCGUGAUUAAAUGUAUCCGAUUUCUGUCACUGAGAUGCUGGAGUUAUUUCUUUACUGAAUGGUACUGGAUAAACACAGAUUUAUGUGCAAAGUUUUAUAUAGAACUAAAUAAUCCUGUGUUCUACAAAUCACUAUAAUGUAUAAUUUAGUUCUUUGAUCAAAUUAAUGGAGGUUUUACUUAAUUUAGAGUGUCUCUGAGAGUCUUGCCUUUACUGGUGUGUAGUAGCUUUUAAUCUUUAUGCAUUAACUAAAAACCCACUGAGGACUCUGUACCUCCAUAGCUGAGCUUCCUGAGAUUUAUGGAGGCAGAGGUAGAGCAGGCAAGAAGGAACACGCCUGUACCUAAUGGCCAGGGGACUUCACCCAGGGAUUUUACAUGAAACAGCAACUGGAUAAAAAACAGCGGUGGAAGCACAGAAUCACAGAAUAUCUUGGCUUUGAAGAUACCUCUGGAGGUCAUCUAGUCCAACCCCCGCUCAAAGCAGGGCCAACUUCAAAGUGAAAUCCAACCUCAAGUUAGAUCAGGUAGUGCAGGGUCAUGGCCACAGAGGUAUGGUGUCUCCUGGGAUGGAGGUGCUCUGAGGUGCAGACGCCAGGACGGUGCUGCCCAUCCGAGCACCCCUCUAACUCCUGCCUUGUGCUCUCUUUCCUGCUAGCUCUGUGAUUCCUGCAAAUCUGGCUGUGCAGUGCUGCCGUUUCCACAAGGACCUACAGGCCAGAGAGAGAUGAGGGUACUUGUUUGAAAUGUGGGAAUGUGGUUUAAAAUCCCCUCAGGCAGAGGAAGCCUCAAACCCUUCCUUGAAUGGUGGUCCAUCUGCUGUGGCCAGAAAUGUCGCCGACCACAGGCGUUCUUGUAUUAUUGAUUCAAGUCCUGUGUCUGGUGCUGAAACCAUAUGGAUGCCGCUGCAUCCCCUUCCGGUAGCUGUACCCCCUCCAGGGAGUGCCCCAGCCCCGUCCCCAGCCCCAGCCCUGCAUGGGGGCCCUGACAGCCAGUGCUGCUUCUCCUCGUGGCUUUUUCAGGGCAGAACACAUCCUUACAGCCCUCCCCUCACUGGGCAGCCCCGUAAGGUGGCCAAGGAUCCUCCAUCCCUCCUCUUGUGGCUGUCAGUGGAACCUGCUGAACCUCACAUCAAGCCCUUGCAAAAGUCAUUGUCCUUUGAAGUGUUACAGUGCUGUAAAGCAUUAUUUAACCACAAGCUCUCAAAAAGACUAGUGCUUUAUAUCACCCUUAAUUUUACAUCUUGCUUUGCAUAAUUCACUACUUGGUUUAGAGACCUAGAGUUUUAAAAAAAUUACAGAAAUACCUUCCAAAGUACCCACUGAAAGAUGUAUCUGUUGUAAUGGAACUCUUAAAACACCUAUUAGCACCCUUCACUUGUCACUUGGAAUCUCAGGGUCACACUUUUGGUAUGAGCACUGUUUAGAAACUGGUGAGAUUACUGCUUAUUCAUUUAAAACAAAAAAAGGAAUUUGAGGACAGUCACUAGAGAAAACAAGUUCACUAAGAGUCUUGCAGAAAAUGAAAUAUUUCUCACUGACAAGCUUGAGCAUCCAAUAAUCCUGGGCGUUACCCAAGUCUCUGACCCUGAUAGCAGUGUUUGCCGGAUUCACCUGCUGUCUGCAGAUGCUGCAACAGCCAAGGUUGGAGCAAUCACCCAAGUCUUUUUACCCUACGCUUUGUCCACAAGGAAAUAACUGCCCCUGCAAUGACUUGUAUAUGGGCAGCUGAUGCAAAGUUUCACGUGUUCUAUAGUUUGAGCUAUAAACCCCUACCUCUGCAGGCUGCAAAAGUCAAGUCUUGGCUUAGCCACCUUGGCAUGUUCUGUACAGACAGCAUUCUAUUACAGCUCAGAUUUUGUCCCUUGGUGGAGCUCUGCAAAGGCAUAUCUGCCUUUAUCCUCCUGCACAGUCACCUUCAUUAGCAUCAUUUGGUAAUGGUGGUGGAGAGCAAGACUCUGGGUAGGGAGGGCCAAAAUAGCUGGUUCCCACAGCUGAUCCCAAGGUCAGCAAGCAUGACCAAAAAUGGCAGUGUAUUCCCUCUGAGGAUAAGAUCCCACAGAGGAAGUGCUGGAUAGGUUUUGUAGGCCAUCGGUACUACCAUAGAAGUACACUCUGUAUUAUGUGUUAUAUAGUUAUAAUUUGGUGUGGUCUUUAUAAGUAAAUAUACAUAGGUUGCACUGACUGCACCGCCUCCUUCCAUGGAAACUACAACAGAUAUAAAGAGCACAAUAACUGUUUGAUCGAGCAAAUUCUCAGCUACAAAACACUAUUUUUCAACAUAGUCACCACCAUUCGCUCUACAUUUUCACCAGUUAAUUAGUUCUGCAUUUUCACCAGUGAUGAACAAGAGCUUGCAUGCCGUGCUUGUAAAAAUCUGCAUCAGCGGAGGUGACACACUGUUUCAGAGCUGCUAUGACAACAUUGUUCCUAGGAAAAUGUUGCCCAUGCAGUCCAUUUUUCAUUGGCCCAAAUAGAUGGAAGUCAGAAGGCUUCCAAACUAUAUGGCAAAUGUGGUAGGAUUGUCCAAGAUUGGCAAAGUGCUCCACGUUCUUCAAACUGUUAUGGGGCCUGACAUUGUGUUGCAGGAGAAAAGUUGCCUUCUAGAAGUUCAAGCCUUCAGUUUAGUCAGCAUUGUGAUGUAACAGUUGAAGUUGAUGGUUUGUCUGGGCUCCAGGAAAUCCAGAAGGAUCACCCCUUUCCUAUCCCACAAGACGGUGCACAUCACUUUACCUGUGGAGAGCUGCAUCUUGGACUUUUUCUUCAAUGGAGAAUUCACAUGUCACCACUCUAUGGACUGCUGUUGUCACUCUGGCUUGUAGUGGUGACACCACAUCUCACCACUGGUAUUUGGCACAUACUUGGCACUUACAGCACCAUCUGCCAAAAUCUAGGAGAGCUCUCACAGCACAGAUAUGAAAUGAAGCAUUUUGCUGGGUUUCUUGGAGGUUUGUUUCCUGCUCCCUGGGGACAGCGUGUCUCUGCGCUAACGUACAUUUCUUCAGGAUCAUAGAAUCAUUAAGAUUGGAAGAUUGGGAAGGACCUCUGAGAUCAAGUCCAACAGUCAAGCCAUCACCGCCAGGUCUCUCUCCUUCCACUCACAGCUGGCCCCUGCCUCCCCAUCUUGUCUGCAGGCAGAAAACAGAGGUUCACCCACUGAAUAUCAAUCAGUGAAACCCCUGUCCAACAUCCCCCUCGCCGUCCUGCCGCCCCGUGUUUGUUACCUGCUUCACUCCCUACUGGCUCUUAAAUACAGGGUUUGCAGAGCUGCUGUGAUCAUAGCUUGGAGGAAAAGCAAUUGUUCUGAGAUUUUUUUGCUGAAAUAUACUUGGUGGUGUGGCUGCUUCUGAGGAAUGGGUGCAGAAGAGUCCUUGAUUGGCUGCUUUGUGAGUCUGAGAGAAGGAAUAUCUCAAGGGGACAGCAGAAACCAGGUGCCACAAGAAUACUCCAGGACACUAUCAGAACAACUGUGAGGAAUGCUGGUAGGAAACGCAGAACAGAGAUACCAAGAACACAAUUCUCUGGUGCAAGCAAAAUGAAUCUUGUUGCGGAAGCACUGAUCAAAAUUUACAAAGUAAUGCAACAUGAGGCACUUAACUAAUGAAGCAAAUUCACUGUCAUACAACUAGGAGGGGGCAGAAGUGAUGCUUUUCAAGGAUUUUGAAAGCUGGAAAUAGUCUCUCCCCUCCCCGUGUGCUGGAAGAGCUGUGCCUCAACUCAAAGCUCAUAUGUGGGCUCAGCAAUCAAAUCCCAUCUUGUCUGCACACUUUGCUCUUAAACAAAUGGACUAGCUUGUUCACGAUGGAAGCAACUUCCAGCUCACUGCAUUCAGGAUCGAUGAGGAUAAAGUGCUCCAGCCUAAUUGCACCUUCCUCUUGCCUUGCCAUAUGGGACUGCUGCUCAGAGCACAGCCAGUCAAGACAGAGUCCAAGC